RNAcentral lists this ribosomal RNA (499 nucleotides) under Cladosporium sp. SICAU SDT25. Its description in RNAcentral is "eukaryotic LSU rRNA". The stretch from base 145 to 298 matches the Rfam family "5.8S ribosomal RNA". The record is from RNAcentral. Lineage: Eukaryota; Fungi; Ascomycota; Dothideomycetes; Cladosporiales; Cladosporiaceae.
CGGUCUACACCGGGAUGUUCAUAACCCUUUGUUGUCCGACUCUGUUGCCUCCGGGGCGACCCUGCCUUCGGGCGGGGGCUCCGGGUGGACACUUCAAACUCUUGCGUAACUUUGCAGUCUGAGUAAACUUAAUUAAUAAAUUAAAACUUUUAACAACGGAUCUCUUGGUUCUGGCAUCGAUGAAGAACGCAGCGAAAUGCGAUAAGUAAUGUGAAUUGCAGAAUUCAGUGAAUCAUCGAAUCUUUGAACGCACAUUGCGCCCCCUGGUAUUCCGGGGGGCAUGCCUGUUCGAGCGUCAUUUCACCACUCAAGCCUCGCUUGGUAUUGGGCAUCGCGGUCCGCCGCGUGCCUCAAAUCGACCGGCUGGGUCUUCUGUCCCCUAAGCGUUGUGGAAACUAUUCGCUAAAGGGUGUUCGGGAGGCUACGCCGUAAAACAACCCCAUUUCUAAGGUUGACCUCGGAUCAGGUAGGGAUACCCGCUGAACUUAAGCAUAUCAUA